AUUGAACGCUGGCGGCAGGCCUAACACAUGCAAGUCGAGCGAGCGGCGGACGGGUGAGUAAUGUAUGGGGACUGCCCGAUUGAGGGGGAUUACUACUGGAAACGGUGGCUAAUACCGGAUACUAUCGGAUAACCCAUAUGGGAUUGGCUAGUAGGUGGGGUAAAGGCUCACCUAGGAGACGAUCGCCAGCUGGUCUGAGAGGAUGAUCAGCCACACGGGGACUGAGACACAGCCCAGACUCCUACGGGGGCAGCAGUGGGGAAUAUUGCACAAUGGGCGCAAGCCUGAUACAGCCAUGCCGCGUGUAUGAAGAAGGCCUUAGGGUUGGAAAGUACUUUCAGCGGGGAGGCGUUACCCGCAGAAGAAGCACCGGCUAACUCCGUGCCAGCAGCCGCGGUAAUAC
Molecule: ribosomal RNA, 403 nt
Filed under: uncultured bacterium
Lineage: Bacteria
Description: partial 16S ribosomal RNA
Rfam family: Bacterial small subunit ribosomal RNA
Source: RNAcentral